UACGUAGGGACCAAGCGUUGUUCGGAUUUACUGGGCGUAAAGGGUCCGUAGGCGGUUUAAUAAGUCAGUGGUGAAAGCCUAUCGCUUAACGAUAGAACGGCCAUUGAUACUGUUAGACUUGAAUUAGUGGGAAGUAACUAGAAUAUGUAGUGUAGCGGUGAAAUGCUUAGAUAUUACAUGGAAUACCAAUUGCGAAGGCAGGUUACUAUCACUAUAUUGACGCUGAUGGACGAAAGCGUGGGGAGCGAACAGG
This 253-nucleotide ribosomal RNA is filed under the name uncultured bacterium. RNAcentral describes it as "partial 16S ribosomal RNA". It matches the Rfam family "Bacterial small subunit ribosomal RNA", at positions 524 to 776 of the family's 1533-position model. The record is from RNAcentral.